UACACAAGGAUACCAAAUUAGGGGGCUACCUAUUUAACAGCUGAAAGAUCAAAAUUAAUAAAAUGUUUGAGAAAGUGUAAGUGAUUUGUCUGAAAAAAAAAGUAAUGAACUCAAUUGCUCAAUGGACGAAAUUUUGAUAAUCCGAAACCAAAAACUAUCUUCAAACCAAAUUCUCAGUAGCCAAGCAGUGAUUCAAUUUGACUUGGGAAAUGUCUUCCAAAAGAGUUUAGCCUAAUUAGUGUCUGCCUCUACAACGUGGAUUUUAAUGAAUAAACUAAACCCAUUAAAUAAUUAACCAUGAUAGUCUUAAAAGGAACACACUAGGCAUCAAAACAACUUUAACUUAAUAAAGCAGUUUUUGUGUGUAUCUGCA
Molecule: non-coding RNA, 373 nt
Organism: Pelobates cultripes (western spadefoot toad)
Lineage: Eukaryota; Metazoa; Chordata; Amphibia; Anura; Pelobatidae
Source: the annotation of a GenBank genome assembly